RNAcentral lists this ribosomal RNA (464 nucleotides) under uncultured bacterium. RNAcentral describes it as "partial 16S ribosomal RNA". It matches the Rfam family "Bacterial small subunit ribosomal RNA", at positions 28 to 507 of the family's 1533-position model. The record is from RNAcentral.
GACGAACGCUGGCGGCGUGCUUAACACAUGCAAGUCGAACGGAAAGGCCCCUUUGGGGGUCCUCGAGUGGCGAACGGGUGAGUAACACGUGAGUAACCUGCCCUUUACUUCGGGAUAACUUCAGGAAACUGGGGCUAAUACCGGAUAGGAAUCCUUGCUGCAUGGUGGGGGUUGGAAAGCUUCGGCGGUUUUGGAUGGACUCGCGGCUUAUCAGCUUGUUGGUGGGGUAGUGGCUUACCAAGGCUUUGACGGGUAGCCGGCCUGAGAGGGCGACCGGCCACAUGGGGACUGAGAGACGGCCCAGACUCCUACGGGAGGCAGCAGUGGGGAAUAUUGCACAGUGGGCGGAAGCCUGAUGCAGCAACGCCGCGUGCGGGAUGACGGCCUUCGGGUUGUAAACCGCUUUCAGCAGGGGCGAAGCUUUUGUGACGGUACCUGCAGAAGAAGCACCGGCUAACUACGUG